Molecule: transfer RNA, 86 nt
Filed under: Candidatus Omnitrophota bacterium
Lineage: Bacteria; Pseudomonadati; Candidatus Omnitrophota
Description: tRNA-Tyr
Rfam family: tRNA
About the family: Transfer RNA (tRNA) molecules are approximately 80 nucleotides in length. Their secondary structure includes four short double-helical elements and three loops (D, anti-codon, and T loops).
Source: RNAcentral
GGGUAGGUACCCUAGUGGUCAAAGGGGACAGACUGUAAAUCUGUUGCGCGUGCGCUUCGAAGGUUCGAGUCCUUCCCUGCCCACCA